Long non-coding RNA from Equus caballus (horse), 10208 nucleotides. The record is from Ensembl. Lineage: Eukaryota; Metazoa; Chordata; Mammalia; Perissodactyla; Equidae.
AAAAUAAAAUCUUAAAAAAAAAAAAAGAGAUUCCAAGUAUUAAUGGCCCCAUCCCUCCAAAAAACAACUUUUUCUAGGAGAUCUUAUUUGUCUGAUUAGCAGGUAUUAGUGGGGAUCUGGCAGGAUUUCCUUUACUUGGUUUUCAUGAUACAGCAUUGUUCUCUUGGAAAUAUGUAUGGUUUUUAGCCUGUCAUUGAGUUCCGGGUGACCAUUAUCUAGCAGAAAUUCUUCUUUGAUUGUGCUAUAUAUAUAUCUAUGUAUCCCUUCCAUCAUUUCAUCACUGAUGUAUUUUCGUCAUUAAUGUUAAUUUUCCUUUGAUUAUUUAAAUCAUCUGCAUGGAGAAAAGGAGUAGGUGUAUAUUUCUUUCACCUAUACUCAAUCGUUGGAGGAUAACAAAAACUCAUUAAAGAUAGAAAGCUUUUGUCGAACUACCAUCUGGGACCCCAAACAAGCACAGUUCACAUCUCAGCAGUAAAGCCAUGAAUGACAUGGAAACAAUGUGGACUGAUUCUUAGGGGAGGGACUGAGAAGUCUGGAGAAAAGGCAUUGAUUGACUCCACCAAUGCCAGGCAAAAGUUCCAGAGCUAAGUAGGAAGGAUUAGCAACUCAUCUGAAACAGCCCACAAUGCUCCUCCCUUCCCCACAGGUAGCAAUGAUGGAUCAAGAACACAUCCUGGGGCCCAGCCCUGUGGCCGAAUGGCUAAAGUUCUGAGUGCUCCACUUCAGCGGCCUGGGGUUCGCAGGUUCAGAUCCCAGGUGCAGACCUACUCCACUCAUCAGCCAUGCUGUGGAGUCACCCCACAUGCAAAGUAGAGGAAGAUUGGCACAGAUGUUAGCUCAGUGCUAAUCUUCCUCAAACAGAAAAAGAGAAGGAUUGGCAACAGAUGUUAUAGCUCAGGGCGAAUAUUCCUAAAAAAAAGAAAGAAAGAAAGAACACAUCCUGGAUGACAGGAUGAAUAAAAACAGAGCCAGAAAAAUCUACUGGGAUUUGUUCCAGCCAGGGCACUAGUACAGAGAACUUGACAGUACUCAAGUUAUCAUCUUCUGUCCUGGGUGCUGCUAUCUGUAAGUGGUCUUCUAUUGACAGCAGGCUACAGGGAUGCUCUUGAUGAAAUAUGUUCCAGUGACCUCUGGAAGUUCCAUUUAAGAGAACCAUACACCUUAAGAAUAAUGGGAGGGUGGGUCGGCCCCAUGGCCAAUUGGUUAAGCUCACACGCUCUGCUUCUGUGGCCCAGGGUUUUGCUGGUUCGGAUCCUGGGCGCAGACAUGGCACUGCUCAUCAGGCCAUGCUGAGGUGGUAUCCCACAUGCCACAACUAGAAGGACCCACAACUAAAAAAUAUACAACUAUGUACUGGGGGGAUUUGAGGGGGGAAAAAAAAAAGAAUAACUGGGGUAUUCCACAUCAGAAUAAGUUUAAAUCGUACUGCAAUGAAGACUCAGAGUCUGAGCUUGAGUUUGAUAGAAGCAGGACAAACUUUAAAUAAAGACUCUGAUGCAGAGAUGGAGGAUAUAUGAGAAGAACUGUGUUUAGGAAUGAGCUUGCCUAGAGAUCAACUUCCAGAAUGGCAGAGUGAGGACCUCGGUGAACUCACUCUCCCACGAAAACAGUAAAAGUACUGGCAAAACAACUAAAAUCAACCAUUUUAGAACUUUGGAAAUUAACCAAAGCCACAGGACAAACUGAAAAUCAUUCACUCAAGAGAAACUACUGAACUUUGGUUGGAAAGUAGGAUCUGUGAUAUUUUAACUUGCGGAUGGCGUGCUCAUCCCAUCCACCUUCCCUUCCCAACUCAGUUUCAUGGUAGGCACAAAAAGCCUGCAGUCUCACAGCCAAUGGAGAGGACUGACCUCUUGUGGAGCUCGGUUAAAAGCAACAUCCCCAGAGCACAGUCAAUAUUUUGUCAGAACUUGCAGCUCCCCGGAAAAUCUCUAUUCUUAGAGAGUUGUGGCUAUUUGACUUGACUCAGAAUUCAGCUCAGCAGAAAAAAAUGCCCUACUCCCAGGGCAUUAUCAAAACAAUAGCCAUCAACUGGCAACAUGGCAGCUGCCUAAGGCCGGGCUCUCAAUUGGGAUUAACAAGAGACAGACUGGGCAUGUAAUCAUACAUCCUGGAGAACUAGAUAACCACAGGGAACUCUGAAAUGCUCCAGCAUAAUACAGGGGAUCUAAAAGGCUGUGUGAAUGCACAAGGCUGUGCACAAGCCCUGGAGAGACAGGAGAACAGAGAGGGAAUGAGUAACAGGAUCCAGAGCUCCAUUCCGAGGAGUGUGAGAAGAGAGGAAUUACUCUUCUGGACAAAUUAGAAGGGGAAAUGGUGAAAGUGAUAUAAUAGUGUGUUCCUGUAAGGGUACAAAAGUGACCCUGGCACUGAGGCUGGGCCACAACUCCUGAACCUGAGAAUCAAAUAUACAGGAUGGAAGUGAAGAGCUCAGUGGCCUUUGCCUUCCUCUAAUCUAUGAUGAAAGUCUACCUUAUGGGCAGCUGAGGGUAUCAAGAAAAGCAGGGAGACCUGGAGUUAAGGAAGGGUAGGAACGAACUAGGGAUCCUUGGGGAUAGGGCCUGAACCAUACACUCCCUUCUCUCCUUAGAGUUUUCAUUUUUGUCAUAUAUUAUCCCUGGAAUAGAGACAAUAGCUAUUACUGCAUGCUCCUGCAUCUGUCUGGGACUCACAAGAUCAUUGGAGCUAUCAGAAUAAGAAUUAGGGGAAGAAUAGGGAGAGGGGGUAAUAUGUCAAUGUAACUUCAGCACAGUCUUGAACUGGUCUCCUCCCUAGAGUAAAGCUGGAUGCUCCCUUUUGGAUGGCCCAGAAUCCCUGUUCACACUCUUCCCCAUUCCAUCAAACCCUUUCUUCUUCUGCUUUGUCCAAGUCUAGAUUCUUUUCUCUCCUCCUUUAUCUGUCCCUAUUCUCUGUAGUAUUCUCCCAUACUCACAACCAUCAGUUUGUUCCCACAUGUCCCCAGCCGUAGCUCCCUAGAGGGACCGGGUGCUAAGAUAUCCAAGUUUCUGUACAGAGACCUCAAAUACAAUGAUAACUAUUCGGUUCACCUGAAAGCAGAGCCUGAGACAAGGAACUGAGUGAAGGUAGUUUAUUUAGAAGAUGAUCACAGGAAGGACUGAGGAGAAUGAAAUAGAGAAGGAAAAGAUCAUAUAAAGGUCAUUACCUAGGUUGUUGCUGUGGGGAACAGGGGCUCCAGUUAUCCAGGGCCUCCUGAGAAACUACAGAACGCCUCUCAGAAUGGUCCAUCUGAAGGAUGGGAGGCUGGAUCAUCACCCACUCGCAUUCCCCUUUGGAUGAGUUUGCCCCAGACUGCACUUGUCUAUGGGUCUAGCAGACUCCUAUGGCAUUGGAGAAUGUCCUGGCGCGGAAUAUGCGAGAUGCACUGUAGUCACAGGCACUGUCUGUGCUAGGCACCCGUGAGCUCACAUGUAACUAUCUACCACAGCUGUGCCUGAAAGCAGGGAUAAAUCGAAGGGAUAUAAUGCAGGAGCCCAGAGGGUUUGCUGUAGGCCUCUCCUCUGAUUUUUAAAACUUUCUCAUCAGAAACCAUUAUUGAUGACAUAACUUGUAAUGGGUGUUUAUUUGUAUCACUUCCUCCAACUGAAAUUCAAAUGUGAAAUUCCUUGUUGGCAGAGAGGGAGAAAUAUACAAUUUGCUAAACCUAGGAUACAGCAACAGGAGGGAAGAGACAAGAAAGAGCUGGGAGGGGCUGCCACAUGACUCAGUAAAGGUGGAGUAGGAGAUAAUUUGAAGUUUCAAGUACUUGCAUAAAUUUCAGGUAUUUUUUUCUGUAUAAACCCAGAAAUUAGAGUGCAGUUUUACUCUAAUAUUUCUCGAGAGAAGAUUUCAAAGCUCUUGUCUGUAAAUGUUCUAUGUCUGAGGUCAAGGAAUGCUUCUUACCUUUGUUUAAAAGAUUUCCAGAGCUUUUAGUUGCUACACCUGUGGGUGGGGAGAAACAGUCAUGAUUUACACUUUUUGCAAAUAAUAAGGCAGCUAUUGAAUUCUCACAUGACGUGGGAUUUUUGUUUUUGUGUUUUUCCCAUUGGGUAUGGGUAUUCUAUGCUGUUGGAGAGGGGACAUAGUAUUUACUAACUUCCCACAAUCUCCUAGCACCUGAACCUUUACUCCAUAUGCUUUCCCAAAAGAUCUUGCUACCACAAUAGCUAACAACUUGGACAGCACAAGAUGAAUUAGAACAACGAAUAUUUUCCUCUUAAUGAUUGUAUCAUGCUUAAUUUGGAGGAAAGGAGAAAAGACAAGAGAAAAGGUGGUGGAGUCAUCAAAGGCUAUUUUGUCUGGUUUGCCUGGUGAGUGGACCCAAGUGGAGAGUUUGUUUACCCCUUGGGCCCACUCUUAUCCCCAGUGACUUUGUCCUAAAUGGUUGUUAUAAUGGAAACCACGUUAGUUAUGUCCACCAGGGAGCAUUUUCAAAAUAGAGUGUAUAAAAUUAUGUUGCAAGAUUUGUUCUUGCCUAACUGGGGAAUGAUCCAAAGUUACAAAGUGGACAUUCAGUUUCAGAGAGGGUGUGCCCUCUCUGAAGAAACCAGGGCCUUUGAGGACACUUGGGAGUAGAAAAGAAAGAUAGUACAUGUUGUCAGGAUGUAAGAGAGAUUUCUAUUGCCUCAGGGAGCUAUGGACUCAGGUAUCAUCUGUGUAUCAAGUCUUAGUACUUGAUGGACUUGAUGACCUUGAUUUUUCUUAGGAUUGUAGGCAGAUUCUGUUUGGUUAGGAAUACCCAAGCUCCCCUCUUCUCUCUUGAAUGUUAGGUCUAAUGGUUUGAUUCAAAAUAGAUAAUUUGCUUAUUGACUCACAGAAAUCCUCAUCUACCUGAGUAGACAGGAAAGUACCAGUAGUGAAUUUUUUACUUAUCUCUAGCAAGUCAAUGAGAAAACAGACACCCAGAUCAACCCUAUGCAUAUUACCGAACCUGAAGUGAGUUCGCUUACUGGUUGCGCAGCAAGCCAAUGUCUGACACCGGGUGUGGUGGAAGAAAGUAGGAAUUUUAUUUUUUUGCACAGCGCUGAGCAAGGAGAGAGGGCAGCUAACGCUUAAAUCCCAAACUCUCCGAAAAGCUAAAAGGAAGGGUUUUUAUUUGGGGCUUUAGGUAGGGGAGGGGGAGCAUAUGGCCUUGCUGGUCGGAGCUUUCCCACCAGCCUGUCUCUGGCCUUGAGACACUUGCAGAGAGGAGGGAGCUCGUGACCUUGCUGGUCAGCAGCUUUCCCACCAGCUCGUGUCUGUUUGUGGGGAGGAGAUGGUCCAGGUGCUUGUCCUUGACGGUGUCUGUCUCCAUGGAGGAUAGCGGAUUCUGGAGGCAGGAAGCCAGAGAGUAAGCAGGGAAUGAGUGUUUUGGUUUUAAACCCAUAUAUGCUAGGUUUAAUGUGGGGAAACUGAUACCAGGGUCGGUAUCAUGCUGACCAGAUUGGUAGUUUUCAAGAUCCUCAAGUACUGAAGUACUUAUAGCUUUUAUCUGCUUGGCAUCUCUGCUGUCACUUUCUUCUGAUAGCAGACUUGCCCUUUAGGCAGAGAGAAGGCAUUUGGCCAAGAUAGGUUAAUCAUAAUACCUCAUCAGCAGAGAUUAGGCUGCCAGCCUCAUGGGCAUGCACAGAUUCUGUCUCCUAAGAAUUGCAAUCCUGAGUGGAGAUACAUAGAAACAGUUUAGAAUGGAGAUGCCUUAUGGUAACAUCCAAAAGGGAAGUUCUGUGAGGUGCCUGGGCUGUUCUUCCCUCUAUUCCUUCCAAUCUAGGCAGAACAAUUAGGGAAGAAAAAGAAAUAAAAGGUAUCCAAAUCAGAAAGGAAGAAGUAAACUAUCUCUACUUGCAGAUGGUAUGAACUCUGUAGAACACCCUAAUGAAUCCCCAAAAAACUGUUAGAACUAACAAAUGACUUUAGUAAAUCGCAUGAUCCAAAAUAAACACGAAAAUCAAUGGUACUGCUACACACUAGCUACAAACAACAUAAAAAGGAAAUUAAGAAAACAAUUCCAAAUAAGUCCUGGGGAUGUAAUGUACAGCAUAGUGACUAUAGUUAAUAAUACUGUACUGCAUAUUUGAAAGUUGUAAGAGAGUAAAUCUUAAAAUUCCUCAUCAUAAGAAAAAAAGAAAAAAAAAUUUGGGGGGGCAGGCUCCGUGGCUGAGUGGUUAAGUCUGCACGCUCUGCUUAGGGGGCCCAGGGUUUCACUGGUUGGGAUCCUGCGUGCCGGACAUGGCACCGCUCAUCAAGCCAUGCUGAGGUGGCAUCCCACAUGCCACAACUAGAAGGAGCCACAACUAAACACAUGCGCAACUAUGUACAAGGGGGCUUUGGGGAGAAAAUGGAAAAAUAAAAUCUUUAAAAUAUAUAUAUAUAUAUAUAACUGUUGAGUUCAAAUCCCAGCUCAGGUGGGAUUAAGUUCAUGCCAUAACUAGAAGGACCUGCAAUUAAAAAAUAUACGACUAUGUACUGGAGGGACUUGGGGAGAAAAAGCAGAAAAAAGAAAAAAAGAAAAUUGGGAACAGUUGUUAGCUCAGGUGCCAAUCUUUAAAAAAAAGAAAAAAUUUUUGUAACUAUAUAUGGUGACAGAUGGUAACUAGACUUUUCGUGGGCAUCAUUUUGGAAUGUAUACAAAUAUCAAAUCAUUAUGUUGUACACCUGAAACUAAUAUAAUGUUAUAUGCAAACUAUAUCUCAAUUAAAAAAUGAUUGCUUGUAUAUAUACACUUUUAAUAAAAGGUAAGCUCCUUGAGGAAAAAAAAAUCCACUUAUAAUGGCAUCAAAAGAAUAAAAUACUUGCAAAUACAUUUAAUCAAAGAGGUGCAAGAAUUGUAUACUGAAUACUAUAAAACAUUGCUGGAUGAAAUUAAAGGCCUAAAUAAAUGGAAAGAAGCCCUAUGUAACGGAUUGGACGGCUUAACAUUGUUAAGAUGUCAAUACCACUCAAAGUGAACUAUGGAUUCAAUGCAAUCCCUGGCAAAAUCCCAAUUUUUUUGUCUGGCAGAAAUGGAAAAAGGCAAGAUUAUUUUAUCCAUUCUAAGUUUUCCGAUAUGAUCGCAUUUAAGAAAUGCUUUCUGAAACACAUAAAGAAUCACUAAAAAAUAAACAUUACUUAAAAAUGAAUUUAUGGAAAAUAGUAUGGCAGUUUCUCAAAAAAUUAAACACAGAGUUACCUUAUGAUCCAGCAAGUCUACUUCUAGGUAAAUACUCACAAGAAUUGAAAACAGGGACUCAGAUAUUUGUACACCUAUGUUCACAACGGCAGUAUUGUCAAUGACCAAAAAUUGAAGCAGCCCAAGUGUCUACCCACAGAUGAAUGGAUAAACAAAUGUGGUAUACAUAUAUCUAUCUCACACAUAUGUGUGAUAUAUAUCACAUUUAUAUAUAUAUAUAUAUAUAUAUAUAUAUACACACACAAACACACAACGGAAUAUUAUUCAGCUAUAAAAAGGAAUGAAGUUCUGAUACAUGCUACAACAUGGAUGAACCUUGAAAACAUUAUGCUAAGUGAAAUAAGCCAGGCAGGAAAGGAAAAAUAUUGUGUGAUUCCACUUAUAUGAGGUACGUAAAGUAGUCAAUUUCGCAGAACAGAAAGUAGAAUAGAGGUUACUAGGGGCUGGGAGCAUGGAGAAUGGGGAGCUAUUGCUUAACAAGUGCAGUUUCUGUUCGAGAUGAUAAAAAAGUUUUGGAAAUAAAUAGUGGUAACAGUUUCACAAUAUUGUGAUUAUAAUUAGUGCCACUGAAUUGUAUACUUAAAAGUGGUCAAAAAGGCACACAAAAGAAGACGACUAUUUUUUCCAAGAUUUUUGCGCUACUUCAAUGUCUAAGUCCUUUUCUUCUUUUUACCCCUUAGCAUGUAGCAAUCAUUUUCUACUUUUAAAUCCAAAGAAAUUUAAGACACCACCACCACUUUCCCAUUCAGUGCUGAUUAGGAAUCUUUUUUUUAACUUUCUUUUUUUUUAUUGAGGUAACAUUUGUUUACAACAUUAUAUAAAUUUCAGAUAUACAUUAUUAUAUUUCAAUGAUAAGGCAUCGUGAGCGAUCAUUAGAUAAGCCCUCACAUUUGUGGAUUUCAGAGAUCUACAACGUCCAUUCCACAACAAUGGCUGGAAGAAUCCAUGGGGACUGUAUGUGGCUUCCUGAAAAAAGUGAUAUCCCCACCCUCCACCCCCGUUUUCCCGAAGCAAUGGGAGAUUCGGAACUAAUUCUAGGUUGCGGAAAAAUCUUUUCUGGAAGAAGUAAAAAGGAAAAAUAAAAGAUGAUCUGAAGGGAAAUUUUAUUUUAUUUAUUUUAAAUUUUUUGUGAGGACGAUUGGCCCUGCUUGAGGAAGAUCUGCGCCCAGGAUCUGAAGCUGUGAACCCCAGGCCAGCAAAGUGGAGCACGCAAACUUAACCACUACGCCACCAGGCCAGCCUCGUGUAAACGCUAUUCUUGUCAAAAAACUAAAGAGAAACUCCCUUCAUACCCCAGUCUUCAAGUGAUUUCCAUGGAGCUGAAAUGGUUUGGAGGAGAGAAGCAACUAUAUAGACAAGUUUUUAAAGUUUGGGAUGAUCUCAUUUGGGGAUGAAAAAGACGGCUGUGCACUGAGAAUUUCCCACAGAUUAUCUCUAUUUGGGAAAAAAUAUAAGCUGAUAUUGUCUUUAUUUUAGGUUACUGAAAGAUGAGCCACAUCUAAAUAUAUUCUAUUCAUUCAAUUCAACAACUAUUUAUUGAGCACACGCUAUGUGCAGGAUACUGUUCUCAUCACUAGAGAUGGAACAGUGAACAAAACUGACAAAAAUUCCUACCCUGUGGAACUUACGGUCCAGCCGGAGGUGAGGUAAUAAACAAUAAACAUCAUAGUGACUAGUUCUUGUGGUAUGUUAGAAGAUGGUAAGUGCUAUGGGAAAAAAUAAAGCAGAGAAAGGAGAGGAUCAGAGGUAAAAGGGUUGGAGGGUUGGUUACAUUAUUAAGGGUGUUCAGGGAAGACCUCAUUUGAUUUUUGUUUUGUUUUGUUUUCUUUUGUGUGUGUGUGUGUGUUUUUUGCAAGGAAGAUUGGCCCUGAGCUAACAUCUAUUGCCAAUCUUCCUCUUUUUGCUUGAGAAAGAUUGUCAGUGAGCUAACAUCUAUGCCAAUCUUCCUCUAUUUUGUAUGUGGGAUGCCGCCACAGCAAGGCUUGAUGAGUGGUGUGUAGGUCUGUGCCUGGCAUCUGAACCUGGAAACCCCAGACCACUGAAGCAGAGCAUGCAAACUUAACCACUACAUGGCCAGGCCAGCCCCAGACCUCAUUUGAAAGGUAUCAUUUGAGCAAAGACUUCAAGAAGGUUUCUUUGGGUCAGGAGCAACUUAGCUGAGCAGUGCUGGCUUGAGAUCUCUCAUGAAGGGUCAGUCAAGAUGUCAGGUGGAGCUGCAGUCCUCUGAAAGUUCAACGGAGGCUGAGAUCCCCUUUCAAGGUGGCUCACUCACAUGGCUGAUGCCUCAGUUCUCUUCAGGCUCCGUUCCCCAAGGCUGCUUGAGUAUCCUCAUAACUUGGUGGCUGGCUUACCCCAGAAUGAAUGAUUCAAGAAGGAGAGCACCAAGUGGAAGCUACGUCCUGGAAAGUAUGGUAGCAUCUUUUCCACCAUCUGUUGGUUAUCUGUGAGUCACAGUGGAGGAAGAGAACUUCUCUUUCCCAAUAGUUUCAACCACAGUUCUAGAAUUGUUUCCCAGUAGCUUUGCCUGGGUCAUCAUCACUCUGGCCAAACAUGAGUCUUGUGCUAGUCCUUGGAGCUGAGAGAUGAGGUCAGUUCCAUCUGAAACACAUGGACUGAAAGUGGGAGAGAGAGAGUUCCCCAAAGGGAAAUCAGGGUAUUGUUACCAGAAGAAGAAGGAAUAGAUACCAGACAAGCAAAAAUAAAAGAUGUCCACUAUAGUGCCUCUGCGUUAUUGGAAAUUGUUAUGGAAAGUGUGCAUUCCUUUUAUGAAAAAACUUACAUUAAAGACAAAAAAGUUUAAAGAUAUUAACUGUCAUCUCUGCAAAGUGCAAUUACAGUAAAAUUUCUCCCAGUUUUCUAUUUAUUCCAAAUUUCCUUUCAUGGGUAGGUAUUACAUUUUUUUUCCCGCUUUUUCUCCCCAAAUCCCCCCCAAUACAUAGUUGUAUAUUUUAGUUGUAGGUCCUUCUAGUUGUGGCAUGUGGGAUGCCACCUCAACAUGGCUUGAUGAGUGGUGCCAUGUCUGCCCCUAGGAUCCAAACCAGUGAAACCCUGGGCCAACGAAGUGGAG